This 535-nucleotide ribosomal RNA is filed under the name uncultured bacterium. RNAcentral describes it as "bacterial SSU rRNA". It matches the Rfam family "Bacterial small subunit ribosomal RNA", at positions 777 to 1311 of the family's 1533-position model. The record is from RNAcentral.
AAUAGAUACCCGGGUAGUCCACGCCGUAAACGAUGAGUGCUAAGUGUUAGAGGGUUUCCGCCCUUUAGUGCUGAAGUUAACGCAUUAAGCACUCCGCCUGGGGAGUACGGCCGCAAGGCUGAAACUCAAAGGAAUUGACGGGGGCCCGCACAAGCGGUGGAGCAUGUGGUUUAAUUCGAAGCAACGCGAAGAACCUUACCAGGUCUUGACAUCCUCUGACAACCCUAGAGAUAGGGCUUCUCCUUCGGGAGCAGAGUGACAGGUGGUGCAUGGUUGUCGUCAGCUCGUGUCGUGAGAUGUUGGGUUAAGUCCCGCAACGAGCGCAACCCUUGAUCUUAGUUGCCAUCAUUAAGUUGGGCACUCUAAGGUGACUGCCGGUGACAAACCGGAGGAAGGUGGGGAUGACGUCAAAUCAUCAUGCCCCUUAUGACCUGGGCUACACACGUGCUACAAUGGACGGUACAAAGAGCUGCAAGACCGCGAGGUGGAGCUAAUCUCAUAAAAACCGUUCUCAGUUCGGAUUGUAGGCUGCAAC